Molecule: long non-coding RNA, 1104 nt
Filed under: Astyanax mexicanus (Mexican tetra)
Lineage: Eukaryota; Metazoa; Chordata; Actinopteri; Characiformes; Acestrorhamphidae
Description: lncRNA (ENSAMXG00005015577.1)
Source: RNAcentral
AAUAAGAACUUGUUUUCUUUGCAUUAUUUGAGGUCUGAAAGCUCUGUAUCUUUUUUGUUAUUUUACCCAUUUCUCAUUUUCUGCAAAUAAAUGAUGUAAAUGACAAUAUUUUUAUUUGGAAUUUGGGAAUUUGGGCUGAAUGACCAAGCACCUAAUUACACAGCCCCACAUCAUGAUGGAACCACCACCAAAUUUUACUGUGGUUAGCAAGUGUUUGCCUUGGAAUGCUGUGUUCUUUUUCAGCCAUGCAUACCGCCCUCCAAAUAACAAAAUUUUAGUUUCAUCAGUCCACAGUACCUUAUUCCUGGCUUGUCCAAAUGUGCUUAAGCAUACCUCAAGUGACUCUGUUUGUGGCGUGUGCUCAGAAAAGGCUUCUUCUGCAUUACUCUCCCAUAAAGCCUCUCUUUGUGCAAAGUGCGCUAAAUAGUUGAAUGAUGCACAGUGACUCCAUCUGCAGCAAGAUGAUGUUGUAGGUCUUUGGAGGUGGUCUGGGGUUGACUAUGACUGUUCUCACCUAGCUGACUCUUUACCCAGGUUUCUUGGACCAGCUCUUGUGUUGUCUUCCUUGGGAUGCUGGAUUGCAUUUGUUGUAGUUGGGCCUGUGGGCACGGACAUAGAUCUCUCCUGGCCAAGCGCACAACGUUGAACACGCACAUGAACCGACAUGGAACAUUGAAACAAAGGGAGAAUAUAUACCGAAGUAACAGGAAACACCUGGGAACAGGUAACGAGGGGGCGGAACUACAAAUAACAACAAAUGAAAACACUAAGGUGGAGACAGGAAGAACACACAGGGCUAUGUGCAGGGGAAAGGUAAAUAAACAAACAGAAGGGCAGGAAAAACACAGAGACAGACAGGAGAGACACAGAACAGGACGAGAACAUUACAGCCUUCAUUUUGUGCAGAUGCCAACAGCAUUGACAUACUGUUAAACUCAAUUAAACAUGUUUUGUUUUGUCUUCUUCAGGAAUGAGUGACAUCCUGUUCCCAGCCUUCUCCUGAUCCCAGGUUGGCAGCACAGUUUAAAUUUACCUCCAUAGGCUUGUGGAGGUAAAUUUGUGGAAACACCACUGAGAAGAAUCUGACACAGUUCUGAAAUCAGA